This 491-nucleotide ribosomal RNA is filed under the name uncultured bacterium. Its description in RNAcentral is "partial 16S ribosomal RNA". It matches the Rfam family "Bacterial small subunit ribosomal RNA", at positions 899 to 1397 of the family's 1533-position model. The record is from RNAcentral.
ACUCAAAUGAAUUGACGGGGACCCGCACAACUGGUGGAGCGUGUGGUUUAAUUUGAGACGAAGCAAAAAACCUUACCAGGGUUUGACAUGAUACCGUUUUAUGCCUAUGGAAACACUGGCAGAUCCGCAAGGAUGGUACCACAGGUGCUGCAUGGCUGUCGUCAGCUCGUGUCGUGAGAUGUUCCCUUAAGUGGGGAAACGAGCGCAACCCCCGUGAAAUGUUACAUAUUCAUUUCAGACGGUCCCGAUCAUAUCGGGAAGGAAGGAGGGGAAGACGUCAAGUCAGCAUGGUCCUUACACCCUGGGAUACACACACCCUACAAUGGCGAAGAACAAUGGGCUGCAAGCUAGCAAUAGCAAGCUAAUCUCAGAAAUUUCGCCUCAGUUCAGAUUGGGGGCUGCAACCCGCCCCCAUGAAGUCGGAAUCAGUAGUAAUCGCGGAUCAGAAGGCCGCGGUGAAUACGUUCUCGGGUCUUGUACACACCGCCCGU